This is a non-coding RNA of Ornithorhynchus anatinus (platypus), 156 nucleotides long. Lineage: Eukaryota; Metazoa; Chordata; Mammalia; Monotremata; Ornithorhynchidae. The record is from Rfam.
GAACUCAUGAGGCAGGGGGAAAAACAUGAUCACAACGGUGGUUUCCUCAGGGUGAGACAUCCAUUAUACUUUGGGUACGCUGAUCCCUGGAAUUCCCCCUAAUGUGGGAAACUCAGCUGCAUAAUUUGUGGUGUAGGGGUGCCAUCAGUGCUCUUU